This 527-nucleotide ribosomal RNA is filed under the name Euploea core. Its description in RNAcentral is "partial 16S ribosomal RNA". The stretch from base 393 to 527 matches the Rfam family "Archaeal large subunit ribosomal RNA", at positions 2544 to 2679 of the family's 2987-position model. Lineage: Eukaryota; Metazoa; Arthropoda; Insecta; Lepidoptera; Nymphalidae. The record is from RNAcentral.
AAAACAUGUCUUUUUGAAAAUAAUUUAAAGUCUAAUCUGCCCACUGAUGAAAAUUAAAGGGCUGCAGUAUAUUGACUGUACAAAGGUAGCAUAAUCAUUAGUCUUUUAAUUGAAGACUUGUAUGAAAGAUUUAAUGAAAUAUAAACUGUCUCUUAUUUAAAAAUAGAAUUUAAUUUUUUAGUUAAAAAGCUAAAAUAAAUUUAAAAGACGAGAAGACCCUAUAGAGUUUUAUAAUUAAAUUAUUUAAGAUUUUUUAUAUAAUUUAUAGUUAAAAAUAAUUUAAUUAUUAUAUUGGGGUGAUAAAAAAAUUAAAAUAACUUUUUUUUUAUAAUAACAUAAAUAAGUGAAAAGUUGAUCCAUUAAUAAUGAUUAAAAGAAAAAAUUACCUUAGGGAUAACAGCGUAAUUUUUUUUUUUAGUACAAAUAAAAAAAAGARAUUGCGACCUCGAUGUUGGAUUAAGAUAAAAUUUAGAUGCAAAAGUUUAAAAUUUUGAUCUGUUCGAUCAUUAAAAUCUUACAUGAUCUGA